RNAcentral lists this ribosomal RNA (400 nucleotides) under uncultured bacterium. RNAcentral describes it as "partial 16S ribosomal RNA". It matches the Rfam family "Archaeal small subunit ribosomal RNA", at positions 473 to 873 of the family's 1478-position model. The record is from RNAcentral.
AUACCCGCAGCCCAAGUGGUGGUCGAUAUUAUUGAGUCUAAAACGUUCGUAGCCGGUUCAAUAAAUCUCUGGGUAAAUCGGAGGGCUUAACCUUCCGAAUUCCGGAGAGACUGUUGAACUUGGGACCGGGAGAGGCAAGAGGUACUUCUGGGGUAGGGGUAAAAUCCUGUAAUCCUAGAAGGACCACCGGUGGCGAAGGCGUCUUGCUAGAACGGAUCCGACGGUGAGGGACGAAGCCCUGGGUCGCAAACGGGAUUAGAUACCCCGGUAGUCCAGGGUGUAAACGCUGCAGACUUGGUGUUGGGAACCCUUCGGGGGUGCUCAGUGCCGGAGAGAAGUUGUUAAGUCUGCUACUUGGGGAGUACGUCCGCAAGGAUGAAACUUAAAUGAAUUGGCGGGG